UACGUAGGGGGCAAGCGUUGUCCGGGUUUACUGGGUGUAAAGGGCGCGCAGGUGGGCUUGAUAGUUAGAGGUGAAAUCCUGUGGCUUAACUGCAGAACUGCCUUUAAUACUUCAAGUCUUGAGUGCGGAAGAGAGAGACGGAAUUCCAGGUGUAGUAGUGAAAUACGUAGAUAUCUGGAAGAACACCAGUUGCGAAGGCGGUCUCUUGGUCCGUAACUGACACUUAGGCGCGAAAGCGUGGGGAGCAAAUAGG
RNAcentral lists this ribosomal RNA (253 nucleotides) under uncultured bacterium. RNAcentral describes it as "partial 16S ribosomal RNA". It matches the Rfam family "Bacterial small subunit ribosomal RNA", at positions 524 to 776 of the family's 1533-position model. The record is from RNAcentral.